UUGCCAAACCCUUAUCCCCUUAUCUUUCUUCUCUCUCUCUCUAGAACCUUUAGUUACCUGUAACUAAAGUCUCACCACCACCACAGCUACCAUCCAGCCACCACUCCAACCACUGCCAGACGACCACCUAAACGCCUCACAGGUCGCGACCUCCACUUCGACCGACGAUAUCGAAACCCCCCUCACCACCACUUCAACCCACGAAACCUUGCCUUAGAUCUGAAACCCUUGUAGAUCUCGACCAUAUGGAAUAGGUCUCUGGCUUGCUCCUGUCUGCGCUUUGGUUAACUCACUGGAAUUUCAUCGCAGAGCAGUUAACUCACCGGAAUUUCACCGGAAUUGUAUUGGAGUUGAGAAAUUGUCGGAGGAACUUGGACAGUUAGAGUGUUUGAAAGAGUUAAAUAUAGAAGGUACAGGCAUAGGUGAUCUUCCGCAGAGCAUUUUUCAAUUGAAAGGUUUGUGUAUUGUAUUGUCUCGAUUGUGGCUUUUGGGCUAUGGUUUGACAUCCUUAAAAAAAUCUCAAGAAACAUGUCCUCAGGCUACAUAUAGUUGUGAAGACAUGAGUCUCCUCUGAGUACCCACAGUAGCCAAUUCACAAACAAGUAUUGAAACAGGCAAUUAAAUGUAGACGUUGAAGCAAACAAUCGAAGUUCAAGAGACCAAAUGUAGAGAGAGAUACAGGGAGAGAGAGAGAGAGUACAGGGAGAGAGAGUACAGGGGAGAAAUAGAGAUGAUGUUUAGGUUUAUAAUUUUUAAAUUUUGAAUUUUGAUAUUCUUUUUUUUAUCAAAUGACUCUUUUGCCCUCAUAUGGGUUGCACAUGACCUCACUUAACUGAAAGUUUUAACCAGGUUAAGGUCAAAGGACGUAUGGUGUAACAUGUUUUGCAAAUAAAGGACUGUGACUGUAAUUAUUAAAGUUAAAGGUCAUCCAUUGCAACCCGCUACAAACAUAAAGGACGAAAAAUGUAAUUUUUCCUUCAAUUUAUUUAUCAUGUGACAAAUAGUCAUCAAAUUCAGCUUCUUUUCGUGUUCUGGACGAAUUAUUACUUCGAAUUCUUCUGUGCUCUAUUUCUGUUCCUAUUCUUCCCCUAUUUUGAAAUUGUCCUGGCACGCUUCUUGAGUUUCGUUUUAAUUCUUUGUUGGGGUAGAAAUUGGUUGUGUUGUGGGUGUGAUUCAUAGUUGUCGGAUGGUAGGGUGAAGGCGGUGGUGGAGGAGGUGGGGUUUGUGAAAAAUUUGCUCUGUUUGUGGUCUUUUUCUAGGUAACGUCUCCGAUUGAGUGGAUUUCUGAACGGAAUGUUGGAGAUAAAGGGUGGGGUUUGUGUUCUGGUGAUGGGUUUGAUCCGUUUUUGAAGACUUUAAAGAUUGGUAACGGAAAGAUGGUGAUUCAAUUGGAUUAUUGGUGUCAGAAGUAUCAUGCACAGAAGGUGUCGGUGGAGGGUGUUGAUGGAGGUGGGUGGAGGUUGAAGAUGAAGUAG
RNAcentral lists this long non-coding RNA (1475 nucleotides) under Helianthus annuus (common sunflower). Its description in RNAcentral is "hypothetical non coding rna". Lineage: Eukaryota; Viridiplantae; Streptophyta; Magnoliopsida; Asterales; Asteraceae. The record is from RNAcentral.